Molecule: ribosomal RNA, 497 nt
Filed under: uncultured bacterium
Lineage: Bacteria
Description: partial 16S ribosomal RNA
Rfam family: Bacterial small subunit ribosomal RNA
Source: RNAcentral
GAUGAACGCUGGCGGCGUGCCUAAUACAUGCAAGUCGAGCGAACAGACGAGGAGCUUGCUCCUCUGACGUUAGCGGCGGACGGGUGAGUAACACGUGGAUAACCUACCUAUAAGACUGGGAUAACUUCGGGAAACCGGAGCUAAUACCGGAUAAUAUAUUGAACCGCAUGGUUCAAUAGUGAAAGACGGUUUUGCUGUCACUUAUAGAUGGAUCCGCGCCGCAUUAGCUAGUUGGUAAGGUAACGGCUUACCAAGGCAACGAUGCGUAGCCGACCUGAGAGGGUGAUCGGCCACACUGGAACUAGGACACGGUCCAGACACCUACGGGAGGCAGCAGUAGGGAAUCUUCCGCAAUGGGCGAAAGCCUGACGGAGCAACGCCGCAUGAGUGAUGAAGGUCUUCGGAUCGUAAAACUCUGUUAUUAGGGAAGAACAAAUGUGUAAGUAACUAUGCACGUCUUGACGGUACCUAAUCAGAAAGCCACGGCUAACUACGUG